RNAcentral lists this ribosomal RNA (494 nucleotides) under uncultured bacterium. RNAcentral's name for it is "partial 16S ribosomal RNA". It matches the Rfam family "Bacterial small subunit ribosomal RNA", at positions 28 to 507 of the family's 1533-position model. The record is from RNAcentral.
GACGAACGCUGGCGGCGUGCUUAACACAUGCAAGUCGAACGGAAAGGCCUGCUUUCCCUUGUGGAUUGCGGGUACUUGAGUGGCGAACGGGUGAGUAACACGUGAGUGAUCUGCCCCCAACUUGGGUAUAAGCCUGGGAAACUGGGUCUAAUUCCCGAUAGGACUGCAGGGUGGUGCCUGUGGUGGAAAACGAUUUUUAGGGGGUUGGGGAUGAGCUGGCGGCUUAUCAGCUUGUUGGUGGGGAAAUGGCUUACCAGGGGGGGGACGGGUAGCCGGCCUGGGAGGGUGGACGGGCACAUUGGGACUGAGAUACGGCCCAGACUCCUACGGGAGGCAGCAGUGGGGAAGAUUGCACAAUGGGCGGAAGCCUGAUGCAGCGACGCCGCGUGGGGGAUGACGGCCUUCGGGUUGUAAACUCCUUUCGACCGCGAGGAAGCCACCUGGUUGGAAGGGUGGUGACGGUAGUGGUAGAAGAAGCACCGGCUAACUACGUG